This 3322-nucleotide long non-coding RNA is filed under the name Homo sapiens (human). RNAcentral describes it as "long non-coding RNA NONHSAT080872.2". The record is from RNAcentral. Lineage: Eukaryota; Metazoa; Chordata; Mammalia; Primates; Hominidae.
CCCCACCAUGCUUCCCAUCACCACGUUGACCAUGGCCCCCUCUAGCCCUUCUCAGACCCUCACACGUGCCUCUGUCCCCGUGUCCCCUUCAGACUGGAGCAUUCGGGGGCUCCUGCAAAUGCCCCUUUGUGAGUGAACCCGCAGGUGUGGGGAAGCGCCCAGCAGCCCUCAUGGAACUCGGGAUCACGGCAGGAAGGGGGCAACGUGGAUGGACACCUGCACCCUGUGUGGGGGUAUAAAUCACCCUACAGGGCGCUCGUCACCUGGCCAGCCAGGAGAGGGACCAUCCGUCCCCACACCCGGUCCACAGCACCGCACCCGACUCAGCCCCAGCAUCGACCAGAAGUCCCCGGCCCUCAGACCGGCCGCCCAGAGACAGUGGGAGUGAGGAGGCCACACACCGUCCAGGUUGAAUCACUGCGUUUUACUGAGUGCACAGGUCCACCUGGCGUCCGAACUCGUCCCCGUGGCAGCAGGGAUCCCCAGAACCUUCCACGGCCAUCGCGGCCGCAGGACCCCACACCCGAAGUCCCCCGCAAACCCGCACUGGCGCAUUCUUACGGCUCUGGCAUCAACCUGUCCGUGUGAGUAAGUUAAUAUCUCAGCUAAUCUGUUAGAAAACUAGAGUUCAUUCCCUGGGCGUCUAUCCCUAGAAAAUGGACGGUGCACAAAGUUGAGAUUGAAGUGUGCGGGGUAACACAUCCACCAAAAAAAGGCCUGGUCACUACGGCACAAGGACACAUACAAAAUGGUCAGAAGUGUACGUCGGUACUGAAGGCAUUAUGAAAUGUUCUUUGGAGCAUGAACAAAAGUGCAGACAGCCAGAGGCAACGGCGCAAAUGGGGAAGCUGCAGCCACCGUCACGGCCAGAGGAUGGCAGACUGCAAUGGCGUGGGGCGCGGGCAUGGCGGGCACACGUGGGCCGUGUGGAUCCCGGGCAGAGGGAUGGCGUCCAGCGGGACCACCAGCUCUGGGCGCCUCAGUGCGAGACCCCUCCGUGAGACCCCUCCUGCCCUGCGCGUGUCUCUGGAGCCCGUCCCUUGGGCCCCUCGCCCGCCCCACCUGUUCGCAGGGUCCAGGGCGUCCGUACCUGGCACAGCCAGGGGGCAUGGGGCGACCUCAGGGAGUUCCUGUCCACAUGCAUUAAGGCAACGACUUUGUAAAACCCAGGCGGAGUUGGCGUGUGGCGAUGGCGAUGUGCACGUGCCUGCCUGGUAGCCCCGGGGACCGGCCCCUCCUUGCUGGCGCCUGGCCGAGAGUCAGACGCUGAGGACCUCUCAGGACGGGGCCCCUGGCCAGAGCCAGUCUCCUCGGCCAGCCAGGGGCACCACGGCAAGUGUCCAAGCCCAGAGCACACUCAACUCCACCCCACAAACGCCUUUUAAAACUCUGAAGAGGCCCCUCCAUCCCAAAUGGUCCCCUCCCGUCUCUCCUCCUCCACCGUUGCCCACAACCUCCCCCGGCGAUGUCACCUCCUCCCAGGGUCGGCCGUCAGCCCCCACCCUUACAAGACGGCAAAGUUCAGCAAACUGGAACCCCCAUUCACUCAUGCUCCCGGGUCAUGGAAAGCUCCUGGGUGUGCAGCUUCUCUAGGUCUCCCGGAGGGACAGGAACCUGCGUAUUCCCUCGACCCCGGAGUCCACCAUCCCACAUCCUUCAGGAAGCCGCCCUGGCUGUCUCUCCGGCUGCUUAGCGCUUUGCUGGGGCCGAGGUGGAGACUGCGCGCUGGGUGGGAAUGCAGGAUGGCUGCCCGGCACAGCCACACAGGCUCCCCAGGCGGCCAUUCCGUCCUGCAGCCCCUAAAGGCCCUGACCAGGCCUCUUCACGCCACCCCCAUGCCCUGGACAUACGUGCAUGUGACCUGGGAGUUCUGCAUGGGUGUGGGGGUUGGGGGAGGCACCGGACAGGAUCAGAGGACACUGGGGGCACCCGUGCACUGAGCACCCACCCCUCAGAGCUCAGCCCCCUGCUGGGCACCCUCCACAGCAGGUCCAAGCCUCGUGAGCUGUCCCUCUCACACCACGUCUGCUGGGCACCCUCCAUGGCAGCAAGCCUCAUGAGCCAUCUCUCUCCCACCACAUCUGCCGGGCACCCUCCAUGGCAGGUCCAAGCCCUGUGAACCAUCCCUCUCACACCACGUCUGCCGGGCACCCUCCAUGGCAGGUCCAAGCCCUGUGAGCCGUCCCUCUCACACCACGUCUGCUGGGCACCCUCCACCAGGUCCAAGUCUCGUGAGCCGUUCCUCUCACACCACGUCUGCUGGGCACCCUCCACAGCAGGUCCAAGCCUCGUGAGCCGUCCCUCUCACGCCACGUCUGCCGGGCACCCUCCACGGCAGGUCCGAGCUUUGUGAACCGUCCCUCUCACGUCUGCUUUGAGGGUUUGUGUCAAUGGGGCUGUGCAGCAUCAACCUGUGAUCUUGCCAAUGCCCCAGCCUCUGCUCUGUACGGCAUUCAUAGCUCAGGAGGGCGGGGACAAGGGCGUUUCUGCAAAGCUCUCACAGCUCCUUCUGCUCCUCGGCUUCUGGGAAGCAACUAGAAAUAGCUGAGAGCCCAGCUCUUUCUAGAGAGAAGGGGGUGUCCUUUAUGGGGGUCCCUGACUGUGGGGGACCGAGCCCAGCUGGAGUCCUCCUCCCCUUCUCUCCGGCAGCAGGUCUCUCUGGCAGCAGGGUCUGGAAUCUAGAAACACUGAGACCUCCAGCCCCGAAGGGGGCAAACAUUAAACCACACGCCCUGGCUGUGCCUCUCCUCCGGGCGGGACUUGGGGUGAUCAGACCCACAGCUCAAAGGGUGCCCCCUGGAGAAGCCCUCACAGUGCCUGGGGUGAUUUCAGCCUCCAAGGGGGGGCUUGAGACGAGGCCCCCCAAAAGGUAGGGGCAUCGCUGAGGGGCAGCGUGUCCUCCGGUGGGGGGUGUUGGGCACCUGCCCUGCUCAGACGGCUGUGUGCAGGAGGCAUGGGAGGAGCCCUCCCCCAGCGUGUCCCAGCCGUGGUGGCAGCUGGAAGACUCACGGACUGUGAUUUUAUGCAGAGGGAGAAGGAGAAGCUGGGCCAGGAAACCACAACAGGCAGCAGCACCUGCCUGGGCUGGGGCCUGGGAUUCGAGGCUGAGCCACCCAUCCCAGGAGGGCCCAGCACCUCCAGGGCAGACCAAACACAGGACCCAACCGGACACCCAUACAGACACCGGGGCACCUUGGCAUCUGGUAGAGCCCCUCCUCUGGAUGGCUGCCAGGCUGUGGGAGGGAAGGGCAGCACGAGACCCUGAUUGGGCUCUGCCUGGCGCUCUGCCACUGCGGACCAGGAGCCCGGACAGUCGGAUACC